AUACGUAGGUCCCGAGCGUUGUCCGGAUUUAUUGGGCGUAAAGCGAGCGCAGGCGGUUUAAUAAGUCUGAAGUUAAAGGCAGUGGCUUAACCAUUGUUCGCUUUGGAAACUGUUAGACUUGAGUGCAGAAGGGGAGAGUGGAAUUCCAUGUGUAGCGGUGAAAUGCGUAGAUAUAUGGAGGAACACCGGUGGCGAAAGCGGCUCUCUGGUCUGUAACUGACGCUGAGGCUCGAAAGCGUGGGGAGCAAACAGGAUUAGAUACCCUGGUAGUCCACGCCGUAAACGAUGAGUGCUAGGUGUUAGGCCCUUUCCGGGGCUUAGUGCCGCAGCUAACGCAUUAAGCACUCCGCCUGGGGAGUACGGCCGCAAGGUUGAAACUUAAAUGAAUUGGCGGGG
Molecule: ribosomal RNA, 396 nt
Filed under: uncultured bacterium
Lineage: Bacteria
Description: partial 16S ribosomal RNA
Rfam family: Bacterial small subunit ribosomal RNA
Source: RNAcentral